GAUGAACGCUGGCGGCGUGCCUAAUACAUGCAAGUCGAACGCUUCACUUCGGUGAAGAGUGGCGAACGGGUGAGUAAUACAUAAGUAACCUGGCAUCUACAGGGGGAUAACUGAUGGAAACGUCAGCUAAGACCGCAUAGGUGUAGAGAUCGCAUGAACUCUAUAUGAAAAGUGCUACGGGACUGGUAGAUGAUGGACUUAUGGCGCAUUAGCUGGUUGGUAGGGUAACGGCCUACCAAGGCGACGAUGCGUAGCCGACCUGAGAGGGUGACCGGCCAAACUGGGACUGAGACACGGCCCAGACUCCUACGGGAGGCAGCAGUAGGGAAUUUUCGGCAAUGGGGGAAACCCUGACCGAGCAACGCCGCGUGAAGGAAGAAGUAAUUCGUUAUGUAAACUUCUGUCAUAGAGGAAGAACGGUGGAUAUAGGGAAUGAUAUCCAAGUGACGGUACUCUAUAAGAAAGCCACGGCUAACUACGUGCCAGCAGCCGCGGUAA
Molecule: ribosomal RNA, 498 nt
Filed under: uncultured bacterium
Lineage: Bacteria
Description: partial 16S ribosomal RNA
Rfam family: Bacterial small subunit ribosomal RNA
Source: RNAcentral